RNAcentral lists this transfer-messenger RNA (360 nucleotides) under Desulfallas thermosapovorans DSM 6562. It matches the Rfam family "transfer-messenger RNA". Rfam says of the family: Bacterial tmRNA, also known as 10Sa RNA or SsrA, is named for its dual tRNA and mRNA-like properties. Its role is to liberate the mRNA from a stalled ribosome. RNAcentral also lists the same sequence under 1 other name. Lineage: Bacteria; Bacillati; Bacillota; Clostridia; Eubacteriales; Desulfallaceae. The record is from Rfam by way of RNAcentral.
GGGGGCGAAAUGGUUUCGACGGGGGAAGUUGUGGCAGGAUAAGCGAGCCGGGGUUCCAUCAGCCCGUUAAACGGUGGAACAGUUAAUAUAACUGCCAACAAAGAAAAUUACGCUCUAGCUGCUUAAUUACAGCUAGCAUCCCACCCGCACUUGCCUGUGGAGCGGGCCACGGGGUGUCAUAUGAGCAGGCUUACCCUUUAGCCGAUUCUCGGAGGCCAAACGGGGAAAUUCAUCGAGAUAGCUCCGGCGAAGCCUGGUUGUGGGCGCCAAAGGGGCGAAUUUUAAAACACAACCUACGCUCGUAGAAGGUCUUGUGGCUCUUCUUUCGGACGGUGGGUUCAACUCCCCCCGCCUCCACCA